Sapajus apella (tufted capuchin) is the source of this 166-nucleotide long non-coding RNA. RefSeq lists it as uncharacterized. The transcript is spliced from 3 exons. NCBI's taxonomy places the organism in Eukaryota, Metazoa, Chordata, Mammalia, Primates, Cebidae. The record is from RefSeq and is a predicted model, not a curated record.
AAAGGAAAAGAGGAAGUCACUUGAGGAAUGCUUAGAGAAGCGAUAACAUUUCCAAAUAAGGAAGGGGAAUAAGCUAUGACCUAAGGCUUGCCUGGGCUUGUUCAGGCAUGUCAGGGCAAAUACCUAGGUUAAAGUGGAAAAACUAAGAAUACAGGGCACACUUUUU